Molecule: RNA transcript, 815 nt
Organism: Bubalus bubalis (water buffalo)
Lineage: Eukaryota; Metazoa; Chordata; Mammalia; Artiodactyla; Bovidae
Gene name: spermatid nuclear transition protein 3-like
Exons: 2
Source: RefSeq, a predicted model, not a curated record
CUUAAUUACCCUUUUUCCACCUUAAGUGCUUGCUCUUAAGUUCCUUAAGCCCCUCAGGAACCCCCAACAGGCAGAAGGUGGGCUAGAGAUGAAGUGAUUACUCUGAAAGGCUGAAGUGGGACAGAAAGGGUUUGGCAGAUGUUUACAGAGGGAUGAAGGAGGCAGGAGUGUUGAAGUGGCACAUAUAAGUCAAAGGAUAAAGGGAACUGAAAGGAAGUUUGAAGGUCAUGAGGAGAAACACCAUGGCCCUGAAUCACCACUGCCCAGAAUCAGACACACAGAGGUGUCAGCAGUGGAGAAGUUAUAAAAUGGCCUCCCUCAGCAUCCACUAGCCCAUGUUGAUGGGCACAGGGGUACAUUGUGAUGUCUAAGCCCCCCAAGAUGCUAUUGGCUGGGGUGGUGCCUAACUGACCAAUCAGAUUGAAGGGUGUGGCUCCUCAUUGUCCUGAAAGGGUAUAAAUAGGGAGACCAGAGGCAGAGAUUCUAGGUUAGGCCACUUCUUGGCAUCAUCCUGACUAAGGGAAUCAGGAACCCACGGCAGUCAAGAAGAGUUACAAGGCGGUUUGCCUCAAGGAUGAAUGGACAAAAGAAGACCCUUUGUCAACGGAGGCACGAAAUAUGACCAUGAGGGUCAGAAGACCUCUUCAAGGAACCUUGAGAAAGAAAAUCCGACCAUAUGCCACUCAGUCGAAGAAGGUGAAGACAACCAGAAAACCCAACUGUUUUCUCCGUUCCUGUGCACGUAAGAAACUGAAUCAAAGCCGUAAAAGGUACCAAAAUAUGAGGCGGGAUCAAAGAAGGAGGCAGAAUCCAAA